CCACUAUGAUGAAAGUUUUCCUGCCAUUCGUAGUUUCCACCAGAGGUUGUGUAACCAAAGAUGGCCCAACUCCUUCCUUGGAUGUCUGAGUGA
This 93-nucleotide small nucleolar RNA is filed under the name Myripristis murdjan (pinecone soldierfish). RNAcentral's name for it is "Small nucleolar RNA SNORD14 (ENSMMDG00005016174.1)". It matches the Rfam family "Small nucleolar RNA SNORD14". Rfam says of the family: U14 small nucleolar RNA (U14 snoRNA) is required for early cleavages of eukaryotic precursor rRNAs. The record is from Rfam by way of RNAcentral. Lineage: Eukaryota; Metazoa; Chordata; Actinopteri; Holocentriformes; Holocentridae.